RNAcentral lists this transfer RNA (73 nucleotides) under uncultured archaeon. RNAcentral's name for it is "tRNA-Ala(cgc)". It matches the Rfam family "tRNA". Rfam says of the family: Transfer RNA (tRNA) molecules are approximately 80 nucleotides in length. Their secondary structure includes four short double-helical elements and three loops (D, anti-codon, and T loops). The record is from RNAcentral.
GGGCUUGUAGAUCAGCGGUAGAUCGCCGCCUUCGCAAGGCGGAGGCCGCGGGUUCGAGUCCCGCCAAGUCCAC